GUGUGUUGGCUAUUCAUAGUGAGGUUACAUAGUUUGACUGCAUGUUCUCUUGGUCCCUAGCCAUAUGGGUCCUUGUUGUGUAUGUUGGCUAUGUAGGUUCAGAUUCACUAUUUGGAGUAGGAUGCACUUAGAUGAAAUCUGUCGACCUUGGUAGAAAAGAAAAAAUCCUUUGCGAUUCAUAAGACUGAGUUCAAAAAAAUUUUUGGCUAGAAUAAGUGUGAAUACUCAAAAAGAGUUUUCAUGAGAAUCAUAAAUGAACUCGAGUCGAGCCAAUCUAGUAUAUGACUGAUAAUGGAGUUUGAUGAGUUCUCUAUG
This 315-nucleotide long non-coding RNA is filed under the name Elaeis guineensis (African oil palm). RNAcentral's name for it is "long non-coding RNA (EGUI_LNC049915)". Lineage: Eukaryota; Viridiplantae; Streptophyta; Magnoliopsida; Arecales; Arecaceae. The record is from RNAcentral.